This 27-nucleotide non-coding RNA is filed under the name Mus musculus (house mouse). The record is from RNAcentral. Lineage: Eukaryota; Metazoa; Chordata; Mammalia; Rodentia; Muridae.
GCCAUGUAGGAAUGCACUGAUUGCAUG